AAGAAGGCUAAAAGCCCAACACCAAGCCCGUCCCCUGCCAGGAAUUCUGAUCAAGAAGGAGGUGGAAAGAAAAAGAAGAAGAAGAAGGACAAGAAACACAAGAAGGAUAAGAAACACAAGAAGCACAAAAAACACAAGAAGGAGAAGGCUGUGGCCGUAGCCACCCCAGCUCCUGCUGCCCCUGCAGCUGUCUCUGCUGCCGCCACUCCAUCAGCCCAGGAAGAGCCUGCGGCAGCACCAGAGCCCAGGAAGGAGACUGAGAGUGAAGCUGAAGAUGACAACCUUGAUGACUUAGAGAGGCACCUUCGGGAGAAGGCCCUUCGAUCCAUGCGGAAGGCCCAAGUGUCCCCACAGUCCUAGGCAGACAUGUUUGUUACGUUGUAAAUUUUAUUUGGCUUGUACUCAAUUCAAUUUCAAAAUUGCUAAAAUGUGUUUGAGCUUUA
RNAcentral lists this long non-coding RNA (443 nucleotides) under Rattus norvegicus (Norway rat). RNAcentral's name for it is "long non-coding RNA NONRATT029288". Lineage: Eukaryota; Metazoa; Chordata; Mammalia; Rodentia; Muridae. The record is from RNAcentral.